Molecule: unclassified non-coding RNA, 329 nt
Filed under: soil metagenome
Description: partial contains 5.8S ribosomal RNA, internal transcribed spacer 2, and large subunit ribosomal RNA
Rfam family: 5.8S ribosomal RNA (bases 1-120)
Source: RNAcentral
GAUGAAGAACGCAGCGAAAUGCGAUAAGUAGUGUGAAUUGCAGAAUUCAGUGAAUCAUCGAAUCUUUGAACGCACAUUGCGCCCCUUGGUAUCCCGAGGGGCAUGCCUGUUCGAGCGUCAUUUCACCACUCAAGCCUGGCUUGGUGUUGGGCGACGUCCUCUUUGGGGACGCGCCUCGAAACGCUCGGCGGCGUGGCACCGGCUUUAAGCGUAGCAGAAUCUUUCGCUUUGGAAGUCGUGGCCCCGUCUGCCGGAAGACCUGCUCGCAAGGUUGACCUCGGAUCAGGCAGGGAUACCCGCUGAACUUAAGCAUAUCAAUAAGCGGAGGA